Molecule: ribosomal RNA, 798 nt
Filed under: uncultured bacterium
Lineage: Bacteria
Description: bacterial SSU rRNA
Rfam family: Bacterial small subunit ribosomal RNA
Source: RNAcentral
CGAACGCGUCUCCGUUAAUGAUUUUAGGUGCUUGCACUUGAGAGAUUUAACAUUGAGACGAGUGGCGAACUGGUGAGUAACACGUGGGUAACCUGCCCUUGAAGUAGGGGAUAACACUUGGAAACAGGUGCUAAUACCGUAUAACAACCAAAACCACCUGGUUUUGGUUUAAAAGACGGCUUCGGCUGUCACUUUAGGAUGGACCCGCGGCGUAUUAGCUUGUUGGUAAGGUAACGGCCUACCAAGGCGAUGAUACGUAGCCGACCUGAGAGGGUAAUCGGCCACAUUGGGACUGAGACACUGCCCAAACUCCUACGGGAGGCAGCAGUAGGGAAUCUUCCACAAUGGACGAAAGUCUGAUGGAGCAACGCCGCGUGAGUGAUGAAGGGUUUCGGCUCGUAAAACUCUGUUGUUGGAGAAGAACAGGUGUCAGAGUAACUGUUGACAUCUUGACGGUAUCCAACCAGAAAGCCACGGCUAACUACGUGCCAGCAGCCGCGGUAAUACGUAGGUGGCAAGCGUUGUCCGGAUUUAUUGGGCGUAAAGCGAGCGCAGGCGGUUUUUUAGGUCUGAUGUGAAAGCCUUCGGCUUAACCGGAGAAGCGCAUCGGAAACCGGGAGACUUGAGUGCAGAAGAGGACAGUGGAACUCCAUGUGUAGCGGUGAAAUGCGUAGAUAUAUGGAAGAACACCAGUGGCGAAGGCGGCUGUCUGGUCUGUAACUGACGCUGAGGCUCGAAAGCAUGGGUAGCGAACAGGAUUAGAUACCCUGGUAGUCCAUGCCGUAAACGAUGAGUGCU